Molecule: ribosomal RNA, 253 nt
Filed under: uncultured bacterium
Lineage: Bacteria
Description: partial 16S ribosomal RNA
Rfam family: Archaeal small subunit ribosomal RNA
Source: RNAcentral
UACCAGCACCCCGAGUGGUCGGGACGAUUAUUGGGCCUAAAGCAUCCGUAGCCGGUCAUGCAAGUCCUCCGUUAAAUCCAGCCGCUCAACGGUUGGGCUGCGGAGGAUACUACGUGGCUAGGAGGCGGGAGAGGCAAGCGGUACUCAGUGGGUAGGGGUAAAAUCCUUUGAUCCAUUGAAGACCACCAGUGGCGAAGGCGGCUUGCCAGAACGCGCUCGACGGUGAGGGAUGAAAGCGUGGGGAGCAAACAGG